GAUAUCGUUACAAGUACAUGUAAGGAAGAGAUGAGUAUAUGGAUUUGGCUUACAUUUGCCACAAGCUACAACAUGAACAUCUGAAUGCAACAAUACAUUCGAUCAUCAUAUAGAAGACCAGGGUCCGACUACGGACGAAAUCAAACGAUAAAAUGACAUCCACCCUUGCUAAUCCCACGCUGCCGGCCUGGAACCCAUCCUAUGCUUGAUGAAGAAGAAGAAGAACUCCAAAUAGAACAAUCAUCGUGCUCAGGCCAAAAUAUCACUUUACC
Molecule: long non-coding RNA, 272 nt
Filed under: Hordeum vulgare
Lineage: Eukaryota; Viridiplantae; Streptophyta; Magnoliopsida; Poales; Poaceae
Description: long non-coding RNA (HVUL_LNC012464)
Source: RNAcentral